GGAUGCGAUCAUACCAACUCACAUGCACCGGAUCCCAUCAGAACUCCGAAGCUAAGCGAGUUUGGGCGAGAGUAGUACUAGGAUGGGUGACCUCCUGGGAAGUCCUCGUGUUGCAUCCC
This is a ribosomal RNA of Prunus persica (peach), 119 nucleotides long. The record is from Rfam. Lineage: Eukaryota; Viridiplantae; Streptophyta; Magnoliopsida; Rosales; Rosaceae.